RNAcentral lists this ribosomal RNA (799 nucleotides) under Bacillus subtilis. RNAcentral describes it as "bacterial SSU rRNA". It matches the Rfam family "Bacterial small subunit ribosomal RNA", at positions 130 to 913 of the family's 1533-position model. Lineage: Bacteria; Bacillati; Bacillota; Bacilli; Caryophanales; Bacillaceae. The record is from RNAcentral.
CUGUAAGACUGGGAUAACUCCGGGAAACCGGGGCUAAUACCGGAUGGUUGUUUGAACCGCAUGGUUCAAACAUAAAAGGUGGCUUCGGCUACCACUUACAGAUGGACCCGCGGCGCAUUAGCUAGUUGGUGAGGUAACGGCUCACCAAGGCGACGAUGCGUAGCCGACCUGAGAGGGUGAUCGGCCACACUGGGACUGAGACACGGCCCAGACUCCUACGGGAGGCAGCAGUAGGGAAUCUUCCGCAAUGGACGAAAGUCUGACGGAGCAACGCCGCGUGAGUGAUGAAGGUUUUCGGAUCGUAAAGCUCUGUUGUUAGGGAAGAACAAGUACCGUUCGAAUAGGGCGGUACCUUGACGGUACCUAACCAGAAAGCCACGGCUAACUACGUGCCAGCAGCCGCGGUAAUACGUAGGUGGCAAGCGUUGUCCGGAAUUAUUGGGCGUAAAGGGCUCGCAGGCGGUUUCUUAAGUCUGAUGUGAAAGCCCCCGGCUCAACCGGGGAGGGUCAUUGGAAACUGGGGAACUUGAGUGCAGAAGAGGAGAGUGGAAUUCCACGUGUAGCGGUGAAAUGCGUAGAGAUGUGGAGGAACACCAGUGGCGAAGGCGACUCUCUGGUCUGUAACUGACGCUGAGGAGCGAAAGCGUGGGGAGCGAACAGGAUUAGAUACCCUGGUAGUCCACGCCGUAAACGAUGAGUGCUAAGUGUUAGGGGGUUUCCGCCCCUUAGUGCUGCAGCUAACGCAUUAAGCACUCCGCCUGGGGAGUACGGUCGCAAGACUGAAACUCAAAGGAAUUGA